RNAcentral lists this long non-coding RNA (1348 nucleotides) under Homo sapiens (human). Its description in RNAcentral is "HSALNT0211362". Lineage: Eukaryota; Metazoa; Chordata; Mammalia; Primates; Hominidae. The record is from RNAcentral.
ACAGGAUAAAAGAGCAGCCUGGGGCCCCAUGGGGAGGGGAGCACAGGGACCCUUUUCUUACUACUCACAACUCAGCUUCUGCUUGGAGCUUUGCUUAAGCCUUCUUCACAAGCUGUGUGAGAGGAACUGGACCUUGGGGAUCUAGGCAGAAACUAUUCUAAGGUUGAAUGAUGGAGGUAAGGGUCCUCGCACAGCCUCCACUGCCCAUAGCUGCAGGAGUGUCCAGAGAUCAGAGCUCUCAAUUAUAAGGAAAGACAUGGGCAAUAGCUGCUUGAGAGCACAGCAAAGUCAGGGCCCAGAAAGCCUGGGCGGUGGAAAAAGUUUAUUCCUCUGGAAGCCCUCAUUAUCACUUCCUUACUCCAUCCUGGUAAGUAGCCUCUGGGGCCUGUCUUAUGUGUCAUUUAUUCUCUGGAUUUAGUUACCAGUGAAUCCACAGGGAGGUGCCAGCCAGUUCUUAGGUGCAUUCCACAAGGGCAGAGAUUUUGGCCUGUUCUGUUCAAUGAUACCUACAAGUACCUAGACCUGAGAAUGGCAUAUAGAAGGUGCUUAGUGAAUAAUUAUUGAAUUUAAGUAUGAUUUAUUUAUUUAUGUAUUUUUCACCCCGGCUGGAGUGCAGUGGCAAACUCUCAGCUUAUUGCAACCUCUGCCUCACAGGCUUAAACCAUUCUCCCACUUCAGCCUCCCUAGUAGCUGGGACCACAGGCACACACCACUACGCCUGGCUAGUUUUUGUAUUUUUUGUAGAGAUGGGGUUUGCCAUGUUGCCCAGGCUGGUCUCAAACUCCCCGGUUCAAGUAAUUCACCCACCUCAGCCUCCCAAAGGGCUGGGAUUACAGGUGUGAGCCGCGCCCAACCAAAUUUAAGCCAAAUUUAAGAAUUUGAGAGACAGCCCCAAUUAGCUUAGCCAAGCCUCGUGCACUGUGGAGGGGGGGGCUGGCACAAGUGUGCCACCCUUGGGCCACACUACCACCAGGGUGUUCAAGGAAGAGGCCACCUCUUAUCCUCUGCAAGGAGACAGGUACACAAAGAUUCUGUGGGUCAUCUCUGUAAAGCUUUAAUUCAGAGGCCUCAGACAUGGACUGUCUGGGUUCAAGAGAUACCAAGGAGCUGGAAACACCAGUGGGGUUCUUUGGUGACUGGGGCCAAAGUGUCUGGUGCCAGGAAGCAGAAUAUACAAACUGGUAUGCUUUUGUGCAUAUAGCAACUAGCCUGAGGCCUCAUUGUACCAGCUUCAGAGAGAAAUAAAUCAUGUUUGUUUAACAAACGCAGUGAAAGAAUGCCCUGGCACAAUGCCUGACACCCAGUAAGCACUUAAUAAAUGUUUAUCGAAUGAAUGAAAGAGAUCUUA